RNAcentral lists this ribosomal RNA (503 nucleotides) under uncultured bacterium. RNAcentral's name for it is "bacterial SSU rRNA". It matches the Rfam family "Bacterial small subunit ribosomal RNA", at positions 28 to 526 of the family's 1533-position model. The record is from RNAcentral.
GAUGAACGCUAGCGGCAGGCCUAAUACAUGCAAGUCGAGGGGCAGCACAGGUAGCAAUACUGGGUGGCGACCGGCAAACGGGUGCGGAACACGUACGCAACCUUCCUUCAAGCGGGGAAUAGCCCAGAGAAAUUUGGAUUAAUACCCCAUAAGAAUGUGGUCUCGCAUGAGACAGCAUUUAAAGAUUUAUCACUUGAAGAUGGGCGUGCGUCUGAUUAGGUAGUUGGUGAGGUAACGGCUCACCAAGCCGACGAUCAGUAACUGGCGUGAGAGCGCGACCAGUCACACGGGCACUGAGACACGGGCCCGACUCCUACGGGAGGCAGCAGUAAGGAAUAUUGGUCAAUGGACGCAAGUCUGAACCAGCCAUGCCGCGUGGAGGAUGAAUGCCCUCUGGGUUGUAAACUCCUUUUAUCUGGGACGAAACACUUCUUUUCUAAGGAGCUUGACGGUACCAGAGGAAUAAGCACCGGCUAACUCCGUGCCAGCCGCCGCAGUAACAC